RNAcentral lists this ribosomal RNA (446 nucleotides) under uncultured bacterium. Its description in RNAcentral is "bacterial SSU rRNA". It matches the Rfam family "Bacterial small subunit ribosomal RNA", at positions 331 to 792 of the family's 1533-position model. The record is from RNAcentral.
CCAGACUCCUACGGGAGGCAGCAGUGGGGAAUAUUGGGCAAUGGGCGCAAGCCUGACCCAGCAACGCCGCGUGAAGGAAGAAGGCUUUCGGGUUGUAAACUUCUUUUGACAGGGAAGAGUAGAAGACGGUACCUGUCGAAUAAGCCACGGCUAAAUACGUGCCAGCAGCCGCGGUAAUACGUAUGGAGCAAGCGUUAUCCGGAUUUACUGGGUGUAAAGGGAGCGCAGGCGGCGCGCCAAGUCUGGUGUGAAACCCCGGGGCUCAACCCCGGGACUGCAUUGGAAACUGGCGGGCUGGAGUGUCGGAGGGGCAGGCGGAAUUCCUGGUGUAGCGGUGAAAUGCGUAGAUAUCAGGAGGAACACCGGUGGCGAAGGCGGCCUGCUGGACAUUAACUGACGCUGAGGCGCGAAAGCGUGGGGAGCAAACAGGAUUAGAUACCCUCGUA